AACGGUCUAUACCUGCGGUACCUGCGGAGGGAUCAUUACAGAGUUACUACUCCAAACCCAUUGUGAACCUUACCUAUGUUCUGUUGCCUCGGCGGCGCGGUCAGCGCCCCUCUGAAAAGAGGACGAUGCCCUCCCGCCGGCAGCACCAAACUCUUGAAUUUUACAGCGGAUUACAGUUCUGAUUUAAAAACAAAAAAAACAAGUUAAAACUUUUAACAACGGAUCUCUAGAUCGGAAGAG
This 240-nucleotide unclassified non-coding RNA is filed under the name soil metagenome. RNAcentral's name for it is "partial contains 5.8S ribosomal RNA, internal transcribed spacer 2, and large subunit ribosomal RNA". The record is from RNAcentral.